UACGUAGGGUGCAAGCGUUGUCCGGAAUCACUGGGCGUAAAGGGCGCGUAGGCGGCUCAUGAAGGCUGUGGUGAAAGUCCGGGGCUCAACCUCGGAUCGGCCGUGGCGACUCGUGGGCUGGAGCACUGUAGAGGCGGGUGGAAUUCCGGGUGUAGCGGUGGAAUGCGUAGAGAUCCGGAAGAACACCAGUGGCGAAGGCGGCCCGCUGGGCAGUGGCUGACGCUGAGGCGCGACAGCGUGGGGGAGCAAACAGG
RNAcentral lists this ribosomal RNA (254 nucleotides) under uncultured bacterium. RNAcentral's name for it is "partial 16S ribosomal RNA". It matches the Rfam family "Bacterial small subunit ribosomal RNA", at positions 524 to 776 of the family's 1533-position model. The record is from RNAcentral.